UCGGGAAUUUUGGGCAAUGGGCGAAAGCCUGACCCAGCAACGCCGCGUGAAGGAUGAAGUAUUUCGGUAUGUAAACUUCGAAAGAAUGGGAAGAAUAAAUGACGGUACCAUUUAUAAGCUCCGGCUAACUACGUGCCAGCAGCCGCGGUAAUACGUAGGGAGCAAGCGUUGUUCGGAUUUACUGGGCGUAAAGGGCGCGUAGGCGGUGUGUCAAGUCAGUUGUGAAAUCUCCGAGCUUAACUCGGAACGGUCAACUGAUACUGUCACACUAGAGUACAGAAGGGGCAAUCGGAAUUCUUGGUGUAGCGGUGAAAUGCGUAGAUAUCAAGAGGAACACCUGAGGCGAAGGCGGGUUGCUGGGCUGAUACUGACGCUGAGGCGCGAAAGCUAGGGUAGCAAACAGGAUUAGAUACCCCCGUAGUCCCUGAGCGGGCUGGCAAGGCGCAU
This 447-nucleotide ribosomal RNA is filed under the name uncultured bacterium. Its description in RNAcentral is "bacterial SSU rRNA". It matches the Rfam family "Bacterial small subunit ribosomal RNA", at positions 355 to 825 of the family's 1533-position model. The record is from RNAcentral.